RNAcentral lists this ribosomal RNA (460 nucleotides) under uncultured bacterium. RNAcentral describes it as "partial 16S ribosomal RNA". It matches the Rfam family "Bacterial small subunit ribosomal RNA", at positions 338 to 795 of the family's 1533-position model. The record is from RNAcentral.
CCUACGGGAGGCAGCAGUGAGGAAUAUUGGUCAAUGGACGAGAGUCUGAACCAGCCAAGUAGCGUGAAGGAUGACUGCCCUAUGGGUUGUAAACUUCUUUUAUAUGGGAAUAAAAUGUUCCACGUGUGGGAUUUUGUAUGUACCAUAUGAAUAAGGAUCGGCUAACUCCGUCCCAGCAGCCGCGGUAAUACGGAGGAUCCGAGCGUUAUCCGGAUUUAUUGGGUUUAAAGGGAGCGUAGGUGGGUUGUUAAGUCAGUUGGGAAAGUUUGCGGCUCAACCGAAAAAUUGCAGUUGAAACUGGCAGUCUUGAGUACAGUAGAGGUGGGCGGAAUUCGUGGUGUAGCGGUGAAAUGCUUAGAUAUCACGAAGAACACUGAUUGCGAAGGCAGCUCACUGGACUGCAACUGACACUGAGGCUCGAAAGUGUGGGUAUCAAACAGGAUUAGAUACCCUAGUAGUC